Long non-coding RNA from Magnolia sinica, 957 nucleotides. RefSeq lists it as uncharacterized. Lineage: Eukaryota; Viridiplantae; Streptophyta; Magnoliopsida; Magnoliales; Magnoliaceae. The record is from RefSeq and is a predicted model, not a curated record. The transcript is spliced from 2 exons.
GGCCUCGGCUGCUAGUGGUACCAAGGAGGCGGUAGGGUCUGCUCCUCAUCCGAAGGCUCUUGAGGCUGGAAGAUCGAGAUUUUCUCUGGGUUAUCAUAUGUCCGGUUUGGUCAACUGGGCAGCGAAACAUGCCCCUGAAGAAGAAAUUGCCGACCUUCUCACCAAGCGGCAUGAGUCCUUCAUCAACGACAUUGCUUCUGUCUGUUACAAGCCCAUGCCAAUGUUCCUGUCAACUUGAGAGAGAUUAAGGAAAAUAACCAGAAAGGACAUGGAGAUAGAGGCCCUUUGAAAUAAAGUCGGAUCACUUCGGGAGGAAUGGGAGGAGCUUUAGGGCUUACUGUCCGAGGAGAAGCUGAAAGUGUUGCUGUAUCAAGGGGAUGCUAUCAAGCUUUAAGCUCGUUGCAAUGAUAUCUCAUCCGAGCUUGCGGAGGUUAAAGCUCGCCUCGGUUCGGUUGAGGGGGAUAAUGCUCGUCUGAUGGCUGAGUUGGAACGGGCAAAAGUCGAUGCUACAGAAGAAUUGAAGGUCGCGGUCAAGGAGGCAAAAGCGGCCUAGCGUACUGAAUCCGGGGCUUCAGUUGCCUCGAUGAUUGCUGCUACCAUUGAGGAAUUUAAGUCCUCAGCAGAAAGGACUGCUGAAGCUAACAGGUUCUACUUCUGUGGCUACAAUGCUUGCAUUGACGACGUCCGGGAGCUAUACCCAGACAUCGACCUUGAUGCUCUUGCCACUGAGGAUGCCGAGGGGCCAGCCGAUGGAGGUCAGCCUUGCCGGGCUCUUGACACCGGGGUUCCUCCCUACUCUGAGGCUCCCCCUGCUCCUCAGCCUAUCGACCCCAAUCCUCCCGCCGAGUAGUUUUUAACUUUUUUCUUUCUGGAUGAUGAUUUUUGGAAAUUUCUGGAUGAUGAUUUUUGGAUGUUUCUGGAUGAUGAUUUUACGGAUAAUUAAUCCUUGGUUGAUGA